AUGGCCAAAUUUGAUAAGCCGGGGGAGGCGGGGGGCGGGCGGAGGCGGCUUUUCCCCACCGGCUUCGUGCAAGGGAAGGGGCUGGGUGCCUGCGGGCGCCUGGGCUGCGGCCAGAGCCCGGGACGGGGGGCAAAGCGGGCUCCGGCGGCRCCACGCUCCCGGCGGCAGCGGGGUGCGUGCAUGCCGGGGGGCUCAGCCCCCGCGCGCGACAGCAGCCACCAGUGCCAGCGCCAGCCCCUGUCUCCCGGGUCGGGAAGGCCGGGGAGUGAGCAGCGAGGAACGGCUGGAAAGCAGCCUCCGGCGGCCGCGCUGCACCGGGAAGGACGUCUCCCGCCCCGUGGGCUCGGCGGCGGGCACGGCGUGGCGGUGCUGGGGCUCGGGGUGCGUGGUGGGAAUUGGAGCGUGAACGGAGGGAGCGAUCCCGCAAGCGACACGAGGAGAGGAGGCACGAGUCAGCUCUGCCUGCCCCAUCGUGUCACUCGGCGCACUUAUUUCCCGGGCUCUCCGUCACGUCAAAACCCUCUGGAAUGCCCCCAGCUGAGCUCGGGCUCGCAGGGAAAGGGUGGGCGCCGGGCUGCGCCUGGGGUGAUGAUAACGUGGUCUGUGCCUUUUCCCCGGCCCCGUGGGCUGGAGCGCAGCGGGGCCGCAGGUAAGGGGGGGUCGGACAGCCCUUGCACCACGGUUCCCAUGCUGGCGGAAAAUAGCUUUUCACCACCGAAGCGUCGCUGCCGGGGCUGCAGGACCUCCUAUCUCCGCACGAACUAUGUUUUCCGCCCAUCAAACAUAAGCACGGCUCUAGCUAAGCCUCCUCUCUGGAGCAAGCACCGUGCUGCAUGGGGACGGCCACCCGGCGCGGGACGAGGGUGGCGGUGGCCGGCCUGGAGGGGUGCGGGAUGCUGCCUUGUGGAGGGGGCGGCACAGAGGCCCCCCCGGCAUCCCUGCCGCGGCCUGGCCCCCGUCCUUCGGCAGGUAGCGCCCGGCCCAGCCGCCGACCCCAGGCUUCUCCGCUCGCAACCAUAUUUGCACAAACGCCUGCUUAACGCGUGA
Molecule: long non-coding RNA, 1047 nt
Filed under: Apteryx haastii (Great spotted kiwi)
Lineage: Eukaryota; Metazoa; Chordata; Aves; Apterygiformes; Apterygidae
Description: lncRNA (ENSAHAG00000004261.1)
Source: RNAcentral